This 237-nucleotide unclassified non-coding RNA is filed under the name plant metagenome. Its description in RNAcentral is "partial contains small subunit ribosomal RNA, internal transcribed spacer 1, and 5.8S ribosomal RNA". The record is from RNAcentral.
CGUAGGUGAACCUGCGGAAGGAUCAUUAUUGAAUGAAACACUUCUGGCUUUAUGCUGUUGUGCUGGCCCUUUGGGCAAUGUGCACACGGCUCUGGUCACUUGUUUCUUCUGUUCCACCUGUGCACUGCCUGUAGACACGCUGUGUCUAUGAUAUUUGUUAACACACAACAAUGUUAGUUGGCAUGUUAUAUAUAAUAAUAAAAUAUACAACUUUCAACAACGGAUCUCUUGGCUCAC